UACGGAGGGGGCUAGCGUUGUUCGGAAUUACUGGGCGUAAAGCGCACGUAGGCGGCUUUGCAAGUCAGAGGUAAAAGCCCGGGGCUCAACCCCGGAAUUGCCUUUGAGACUGCAUCGCUAGAAUUGUGGAGAGGUAAGUGGAAUUCCGAGUGUAGAGGUGAAAUUCGUAGAUAUUCGGAAGAACACCAGUGGCGAAGGCGACUUACUGGACACAUAUUGACGCUGAGGUGCGAAAGCGUGGGGAGCAAACAGG
RNAcentral lists this ribosomal RNA (253 nucleotides) under uncultured bacterium. RNAcentral's name for it is "partial 16S ribosomal RNA". It matches the Rfam family "Bacterial small subunit ribosomal RNA", at positions 524 to 776 of the family's 1533-position model. The record is from RNAcentral.